RNAcentral lists this ribosomal RNA (1395 nucleotides) under Triticum aestivum (bread wheat). Its description in RNAcentral is "partial small subunit ribosomal RNA". Lineage: Eukaryota; Viridiplantae; Streptophyta; Magnoliopsida; Poales; Poaceae. The record is from RNAcentral.
AUGAACGGUGCUCUACUUGCCCCUUAUACCGCGGAAGAUGUUCGCAAGGCUUUAUUCGAUAUUGGGGACUUAAAAGCUCCAGGACCAGAUGGUCUCCAUGCUAUUUUCUAUAAAAGGUUCUGGCCUAUGCUGGGGGAGGACCUAAUUGAGGAGGUUCUGAAAGUAGUCAACACAUGUACUAUCCCGACCGGUUGGAACGAUACGGCGAUCGUGAUGAUUCCUAAGAUUAAUACACCAGAAAAGGUAACACAAUUUAGACCGAUCAGCUUAUGUAAUGUGGUAUACAAAAUAAUUGCAAAAAUGGUGGCUACCCGUUUGAAGGUUUUUUUACCAGAAAUCAUUAGCCCAACACAGAGUGCAUUCGUACCGGGAAGACUGAUAACGGAUAAUAUUUUAGUGGCCUAUGAAUGUUUUCACACAAUUAAGAACAAAAGAGAAGGUAGAGAGGGCUUGUGUGCCAUAAAACUUGUCAUGCACAAAGCAUACGAUAGAGUUGAGUGGCCUUUUUUGAAAGAGAUUAUGUUGAGAUGGGGUUUUCGUCAAGAAUGGGUGAAUUUGAUUAUUCAAUGUGUCUCAACUGUCGAAUACAGAGUAAGGAUCAAUGCAGAGGAAAGUGAGAGCUUCAAGCCUACUAGAGGAUUGAGGCAGGGUGAUCCGCUAUCACCAUACCUCUUCUUGCUAUGCACAGAGGGUUUGAAUGCAUUGCUGACACAUGUCGAGGAAAACGAAAACAUAUCAGGAGUUAAAGUAUGUAGGGACGCCCCACCAAUCACAAAUCUUCUCUUUGCGGAUGAUUCAUUGAUCUUGAUGAAAGCCAAUCAACAUAGUGCGGGGCCCCUGAAAUCAGCAUUAGAUUUAUAUUGUGCGGCGUCGGGACAACUGGUAAGUGUGGAAAAGUCCAGCAUUUUCUUUAGUCCUAAUACAACAGUUGAGAUCAGAGAACAAAUGUGUACAACGCUGAAUAUAAUGACGGAGGCAAUGAAUGAUAAAUACCUGGGUUUACCAGCCAACGUGGGUGCUGACAAAUCAGACUGCUUUAAAUUUCUGAUUGAACGAAUUGUUAAGAAAAUUAGUGGUUGGAAGGAAAAAUUACUGUCCGCCGGGGGGAAGGAGAUCCUACUCAAGGCUGUGAUCCAAGCCAUACCUACCUAUGCAAUGUCGGUCUUUAAAAUUCCUAAAAAUUAUAUAGGAAUCAUUGACGCGAUAGCGCAUUUCUGGUGGGGUGACGAGGAGAACCAGAGGAGGAUGCACUGGAUGGCCUGGUGGAAAAUUGUGUACCAAAAAACGAAGGUGGAAUGGGAUUCCGUGAUAUCCACUGUUUCAACCUGGCUUUUCUCGCCAAACAAGCAUGGCGUCUUAUUGAUAAUCCUGAUUCCUUGUGUGCCACUAUUCUGA